UGGGGAAUAUUGGACAAUGGGCGAAAGCCUGAUCCAGCCAUACCGCGUGUGUGAAGAAGGUCUUCGGAUUGUAAAGCACUUUAAGUUGGGAGGAAGGGCAGUAAGCGAAUACCUUGCUGUUUUGACGUUACCGACAGAAUAAGCACCGGCUAACUCUGUGCCAGCAGCCGCGGUAAUACAGAGGGUGCAAGCGUUAAUCGGAAUUACUGGGCGUAAAGCGCGCGUAGGUGGUUCGUUAAGUUGAAUGUGAAAGCCCCGGGCUCAACCUGGGAACUGCAUCCAAAACUGGCGAGCUGGAGUAGGGCAGAGGGGGGUGGAAUUUCCUGUGUAGCGGUGAAAUGCGUAGAUAUAGGAAGGAACACCAGUGGCGAAGGCGACCACCUGGGCUCAUACUGACACUGAGGUGCGAAAGCGUGGGGAGCAAACAGG
RNAcentral lists this ribosomal RNA (429 nucleotides) under Pseudomonadota bacterium. RNAcentral describes it as "Proteobacteria bacterium partial 16S ribosomal RNA". It matches the Rfam family "Bacterial small subunit ribosomal RNA", at positions 355 to 776 of the family's 1533-position model. Lineage: Bacteria; Pseudomonadati; Pseudomonadota. The record is from RNAcentral.